This 96-nucleotide small nucleolar RNA is filed under the name Cordyceps fumosorosea ARSEF 2679. RNAcentral describes it as "Isaria fumosorosea ARSEF 2679 A. fumigatus snoRNA Afu_335". It matches the Rfam family "A. fumigatus snoRNA Afu_335". Lineage: Eukaryota; Fungi; Ascomycota; Sordariomycetes; Hypocreales; Cordycipitaceae. The record is from Rfam by way of RNAcentral.
UUGCAUGAUGAACCCCAGAUAGGGACAGCUUAUACCUAACGGUAUUUGAUGAGAACCCUGGGCGAAUAUUUUAGUAGAUGCUUCGACUGUCUGAUA